GAACCAGACUCCUACGGGAGGCAGCAGUGAGGAAUAUUGGUCAAUGGGCGCGAGCCUGAACCAGCCAAGUCGCGUGAGGGAAGACGGUCCUAUGGAUUGUAAACCUCUUUUGUCGGGGAGCAAAAGACGCCACGUGUGGCGUUCCGAGAGUACCCGAAGAAAAAGCAUCGGCUAACUCCGUGCCAGCAGCCGCGGUAAUACGGAGGAUGCGAGCGUUAUCCGGAUUUAUUGGGUUUAAAGGGUGCGUAGGCGGGUUGUUAAGACAGGGGUAAAAGCCGGGGGCUCAACCCCGGGGAGCCGUUGAAACUGGGGGCCUUGAGUGGGCGAGAAGAAGGCGGAAUGCGUGGUGUAGCGGUGAAAUGCAUAGAUAUCACGCAGAACCCCGAUUGCGAAGGCAGCCUUCCGGCGCCCUACUGACGCUGAGGCACGAAAGUGCGGGGAUCGAACAGGAUUAGAUACCCGGGUAAA
RNAcentral lists this ribosomal RNA (468 nucleotides) under uncultured bacterium. RNAcentral's name for it is "bacterial SSU rRNA". It matches the Rfam family "Bacterial small subunit ribosomal RNA", at positions 328 to 794 of the family's 1533-position model. The record is from RNAcentral.